GAUGAACGCUAGCGGCAGGCUUAACACAUGCAAGUCGAGGGGUAUGCCGAUUUAUCGGCAGUGACCGGCGCACGGGUGCGUAACGCGUAUGCAAUCUACCUUUUGCAGAGGGAUAGCCCAGAGAAAUUUGGAUUAAUACCUCAUAGUAUAGUACUUUGGCAUCAAGGAACUAUUAAAGUCACAACGGCAAAAGAUGAGCAUGCGUCCCAUUAGCUAGUUGGUAAGGUAACGGCUUACCAAGGCUACGAUGGGUAGGGGUCCUGAGAGGGAGAUCCCCCACACUGGUACUGAGACACGGACCAGACUCCUACGGGAGGCAGCAGUGAGGAAUAUUGGACAAUGGGGCGCAAGCCUGAUCCAGCCAUGCCGCGUGCAGGAUGACGGUCCUAUGGAUUGUAAACUGCUUUGUACAGGAAGAAACACUACUUCGUGAAGUAGCUUGACGGUACUGUAAGAAUAAGGAUCGGCU
RNAcentral lists this ribosomal RNA (469 nucleotides) under uncultured bacterium. RNAcentral describes it as "bacterial SSU rRNA". It matches the Rfam family "Bacterial small subunit ribosomal RNA", at positions 28 to 498 of the family's 1533-position model. The record is from RNAcentral.